Molecule: long non-coding RNA, 931 nt
Organism: Anguilla anguilla (European eel)
Lineage: Eukaryota; Metazoa; Chordata; Actinopteri; Anguilliformes; Anguillidae
Exons: 3
Source: RefSeq, a predicted model, not a curated record
UUCCGGAAGGGAGGGGUCACGAGUUUGCAGUAUUUGGGUAAACUUUGUUUUGUUGCAGCAAUGUUUGAAAUGGGUCAUCUUCGCUACCUUUGACCACUAAGGGGGUCAGCUUAACAACACAACGUGGAGAGAAAGGCCUGCUGGUCGUGGUGGGGGACUGGCCUCUAUAUUUAGAAGCCAUUUCCUGUGUCGUCUAUCGACUGUCGAUGAAUGCUCCAGUUUCGCGGAGCAGCGAAAUAAAGUGGAAUUGCCUAACCAGGUGACUUCAACCUGACUGUGGAUUCGUUGUAGGGAAGCACCUGGCGGAUCCGGCGAUGAGACCAGCGAUGGCGCUGUGCCAGGAUGUGCUCGGGCAGGACUCUGCCACGACGGCGCCAGCUCUUCGGCUCCGCGGUGGAACAAGAGGAAGGGGCGUGCUCGUCGGACGCCCCCCCAACCCACACUGCCAGUCAAGGCUUUAGUCACCACGAGCAGAGCUGAGAACGGAUCAGUGACAGGUGAGAGCCACGUAAGACAGCAGCAACUUUUAAUUUACAGCUUAAAAUUUUGACCAGACUAUACCAGACCGUGGUCUGGAUUGAGGGUUUGCGCAAACAGAAACAUCAACGUCUCUAAAACUGAGCUGUAGCCUAACUGGGCUGCGAUCACACGGGAUGUACUUUGUAGGCUUCAAAACAUAAAGCGCACUGCCUGUGCUGAUUUCAUGAAGCCUAGCUGUGCUUUUGACCAUUUUUGCUGGUUAUAGCUGGUCUGUGGCUGGUCAAAGCCGUUUAAGCAGGUGAAGUAAGAUGGUGGACUAGCUGACUAAACAGGCUGGUUGGUCAGCUGCUGAACCACCAGCUAAAAGAGUAAAAAACACCGCACAUAAAUCAGCUUGACCAACUUAGGCUGGUUUUAUAUGGAAUUUUCAGCAGGGUACACAGGCAUCACC